This is a small nuclear RNA of Rosa rugosa (rugosa rose), 103 nucleotides long. The record is from RefSeq and is a predicted model, not a curated record. Lineage: Eukaryota; Viridiplantae; Streptophyta; Magnoliopsida; Rosales; Rosaceae.
GUCUCUUCGGGGACAUUCAAUAAAAUUGGAACGAUACAGAGAAGAUUAGCAUGACUCUUGCACAAGGAUGUCACAUAUAAAUCGAGAAAUAAACCAGAAUUUG